AACGAACGCUGGCGGCGUGCUUAACACAUGCAAGUCGAACGGCAAGGCCCUGCUUGCUGGGUACUCGAGUGGCCAACGGGCGGGUAACACGUGGGUGCACCGCCCUGCACUUUGGGGUAGGCCUGAGCAACGGGGACCAUACCCGGAUAGGGGAUACUUCUUGCGGGUGGGAUGGAAAGUUUUUUGGGUGUAGGGUGAGCUGGCGGCCUAUCGGCGGGUUGGCGGGGUAAUGGCUUACAAGGGCGCCGACGCGUCGCUGGCCUGUGGGGCUGGGCGGCGGCAUUGGGACUGAGAGACGGCCCAGGCUCCUACUGGUGGCAGCAGGGGGGAAUAUUGCACAAUGGGCACAAGGCGGAUGCAGCGGCGCCGCGUGGGGGAUGACGGCCUUCUGGGUGUAGACUCGUAGCGCGUUGGACGAAGGUUUUUGUGACGGUACCUAGAGAAGAAGCACCGGCUAACUACGUG
This 465-nucleotide ribosomal RNA is filed under the name uncultured bacterium. Its description in RNAcentral is "partial 16S ribosomal RNA". It matches the Rfam family "Bacterial small subunit ribosomal RNA", at positions 28 to 507 of the family's 1533-position model. The record is from RNAcentral.